This 278-nucleotide ribosomal RNA is filed under the name Triticum aestivum (bread wheat). RNAcentral describes it as "rRNA LSU_rRNA_eukarya". It matches the Rfam family "Eukaryotic large subunit ribosomal RNA", at positions 675 to 954 of the family's 3401-position model. The record is from Rfam by way of RNAcentral. Lineage: Eukaryota; Viridiplantae; Streptophyta; Magnoliopsida; Poales; Poaceae.
CUGACAUGCGUGCGAGUCGACGGGUUCUGAAACCUGGGAUGCGCAAGGAAGCUGACGAGCGGGAGGCCCUCACGGGCCGCACCGCUGGCCGACCCUGAUCUUCUGUGAAGGGUUCGAGUUGGAGCACGCCUGUCGGGACCCGAAAGAUGGUGAACUAUGCCUGAGCGGGGCGAAGCCAGAGGAAACUCUGGUGGAGGCUCGAAGCGAUACUGACGUGCAAAUCGUUCGUCUGACUUGGGUAUAGGGGCGAAAGACUAAUCGAACCAUCNNNNNNNNNN